CAUCUCUCCACACCAGCCAACAUCAUGGCAGCAUUAGGACUCCUAUGGCUUGUGGCCUCCACAGCAUCCAUCCUUGUCAAAUGUGAAGACGCAAAUUCUGAACACAAAAAGAUCUACCCAGCAAAGAUCUUUGGACCGUCUAAUGUGACUGAAGGGGUAAAAGUCCAUUUUAAAUGUAUCACUACUGGCAUCAGAGGACACCAGGACAAUGUAAAUGUUUACCUUUGCAAGAAUGGAGUUGGGAUAAGAAUUGUAGCGCUGGACAACAGUGAAGAUGAAACCAUUUUCAUCAUGAAGGAUGUUACAAAAGAAGACUCAGGCAACUACAGCUGUGUUUACAGCAGAGAUAAACUUAUACCCAGUCAAUUGAAGUCAACAGGGGAGAAUUUAGUAGUCUUUAAGGUCGAUGUAGAAU
Molecule: long non-coding RNA, 415 nt
Organism: Coregonus clupeaformis (lake whitefish)
Lineage: Eukaryota; Metazoa; Chordata; Actinopteri; Salmoniformes; Salmonidae
Exons: 3
Source: RefSeq, a predicted model, not a curated record